AACGAACGCUGGCGGCAUGCCUAACACAUGCAAGUCGAACGAGACCUUCGGGUCUAGUGGCGCACGGGUGCGUAACGCGUGGGAACCUGCCCUUAGGUUCGGAAUAACUCCCCGAAAGGGGUGCUAAUACCGGAUAAUGUCUUCGGACCAAAGAUUUAUCGCCUUUGGUUGGGCCCGCGUUGGAUUAGCUAGUUGGUAGGGUAAAAGCAUACCAAGGCGACGAUCCAUAGCUGGUCUGAGAGGAUGAUCAGCCACACUGGGACUGAGACACGGCCGAGAAUCCUACGGGAGGCAGCAGUGGGGAAUAUUGGACAAUGGGCGAAAGCCUGAACAAGCAAUGCCGCGUGAGUGAUGAAGGCCUUAGGGUUGUAAAGCUCUUUUAACCGGGAUGAUAAUGACAGUACCGGGAGAAUAAGCUCCGGCUAACUCCGUG
Molecule: ribosomal RNA, 433 nt
Filed under: uncultured bacterium
Lineage: Bacteria
Description: partial 16S ribosomal RNA
Rfam family: Bacterial small subunit ribosomal RNA
Source: RNAcentral